Molecule: unclassified non-coding RNA, 526 nt
Filed under: Hevea brasiliensis (rubber tree)
Lineage: Eukaryota; Viridiplantae; Streptophyta; Magnoliopsida; Malpighiales; Euphorbiaceae
Source: RNAcentral
GGGAGAUAAUGUAUGUACGUCGAAUGCAUCUAAUAAUUUCUCAGAAAGCGAAGAGUUGGAUCAACGUAGAGUUUUGCUUGUGAACAUGAAGUUACAUUACAAAUAGAAUCUUUGUUCCACCAGAGAAGUCCAUAAGUUAAUAUAUCCACAAUAUUACAGUAUAUUGAUCACUUAUGGAACAGCAAAAUAAUUCCAAGUAUCACCUAUAAACUGCACAGGUUAUAUAGAUUCACAUGGCGGAAAAGAUCAAAAAGAGCACAAAAAACAUGCAAGACUUGCAUAACUUCACCUCCUUAAUGAGGAUUUGGAGGUGUUCAGAUUUCUCUUUUUAACAGUUGAUUCCACACUGCUCAACAUCCGGUCCAGUAACUCUUGUGGUGAAAGGAUCAAUCCUGACCCACAGCAAAGAGAAAAUAGAAGCAAGAAGAAUAGACCAGACCACAACAAUGGUGGGUGUUCGGUUCUGGCGACCCAUCAAACCUUUGAGGAAUGGAUAGAGAUGGAUGAUCACCCAGAAGGCAAAGAA